RNAcentral lists this ribosomal RNA (466 nucleotides) under uncultured bacterium. RNAcentral's name for it is "SSU rRNA". It matches the Rfam family "Bacterial small subunit ribosomal RNA", at positions 26 to 518 of the family's 1533-position model. The record is from RNAcentral.
AGGACAAACGCUGGCGGCGUGCCUAAGACAUGCAAGUCGGACGGGAGGCUUCGGCCUCUAGUGGCGGACGGGUGAGGAGCGCGUGGAGAACCUGCCCCGGGGUGGGGGAUACCCGCCAGAAAUGGCGGUUAAGACCGCAUACGAAUGCACCGUGCAGGCGGUGUAGGGAAAGCAGUGAUGUGCCCUGGGAGGGCUCCGCGUCGGAUUAGCUGGUUGGUGGGGUAACGGCCUACCAAGGCGACGAUCCGUAGCUGGUCUGAGAGGACGGCCAGCCACACUGGGACUGAGACACGGCCCAGACUCCUACGGGAGGCAGCAGUUAGGGAAUUUUGACAAUGGGCGCAAGCCUGAUCGAGUGACGCCGCGUGCGGGAUGACGCCGUUUCGGGUGUAAACCGCUUUUCCCAGGGACGAGGAGGGACGGUACCUGGGGAAGAAGUCUCGGCUAACUACGCGCCAGCAGCCGC